CGCUGGCGGCAUGCCUUACACAUGCAAGUCGAACGGCAGCACGGAGCUUGCUCUGGUGGCGAGUGGCGGACGGGUGAGUAAUAUAUCGGAACGUACCCAGGAGUGGGGGAUAACGUAGCGAAAGUUACGCUAAUACCGCAUACGUCCUAAGGGAGAGAGUGGGGGAUCGCAAGACCUCAUGCUCAUGGAGCGGCCGAUAUCUGAUUAGCUAGUUGGUGGGGUAAAGGCCUACCAAGGCAACGAUCAGUAGCUGGUCUGAGAGGACGACCAGCCACACUGGAACUGAGACACGGUCCAGACUCCUACGGGAGGCAGCAGUGGGGAAUUUUGGACAAUGGGGGCAACCCUGAUCCAGCAAUGCCGCGUGAGUGAAGAAGGCCUUCGGGUUGUAAAGCUCUUUUGUCAGGGAAGAAAAGGUCGCAGCUAAUAUCUGUGGCUCGUGACGGUACCUGAAGAAUAAGCACCGGCU
RNAcentral lists this ribosomal RNA (469 nucleotides) under uncultured bacterium. Its description in RNAcentral is "bacterial SSU rRNA". It matches the Rfam family "Bacterial small subunit ribosomal RNA", at positions 34 to 498 of the family's 1533-position model. The record is from RNAcentral.